This 511-nucleotide ribosomal RNA is filed under the name Vibrio sp. QPT_1_228. Its description in RNAcentral is "bacterial SSU rRNA". It matches the Rfam family "Bacterial small subunit ribosomal RNA", at positions 373 to 876 of the family's 1533-position model. The record is from RNAcentral. Lineage: Bacteria; Pseudomonadati; Pseudomonadota; Gammaproteobacteria; Vibrionales; Vibrionaceae.
GGGCGCAAGCCUGAUGCAGCCAUGCCGCGUGUGUGAAGAAGGCCUUCGGGUUGUAAAGCACUUUCAGUCGUGAGGAAGGUGGUGGAGUUAAUAGCUGCAUCAUUUGACGUUAGCGACAGAAGAAGCACCGGCUAACUCCGUGCCAGCAGCCGCGGUAAUACGGAGGGUGCGAGCGUUAAUCGGAAUUACUGGGCGUAAAGCGCAUGCAGGUGGUUUGUUAAGUCAGAUGUGAAAGCCCGGGGCUCAACCUCGGAAUAGCAUUUGAAACUGGCAGACUAGAGUACUGUAGAGGGGGGUAGAAUUUCAGGUGUAGCGGUGAAAUGCGUAGAGAUCUGAAGGAAUACCGGUGGCGAAGGCGGCCCCCUGGACAGAUACUGACACUCAGAUGCGAAAGCGUGGGGAGCAAACAGGAUUAGAUACCCUGGUAGUCCACGCCGUAAACGAUGUCUACUUGGAGGUUGUGGCCUUGAGCCGUGGCUUUCGGAGCUAACGCGUUAAGUAGACCGCCUGG